This 206-nucleotide ribosomal RNA is filed under the name uncultured bacterium. RNAcentral describes it as "partial 16S ribosomal RNA". It matches the Rfam family "Bacterial small subunit ribosomal RNA", at positions 568 to 774 of the family's 1533-position model. The record is from RNAcentral.
AGCGUAGACGGUGUGGCAAGUCUGAUGUGAAAGGCAUGGGCUCAACCUGUGGACCGCAUUGGAAACUGUCAUACUUGAGUGCCGGAGGGUAAGCGGAAUUCCUAGUGUAGCGGUGAAAUGCGUAGAUAUUAGGAGGAACACCAGUGGCGAAGGCGGCUUACUGGACGGUAACUGACGUUGAGGCUCGAAAGCGUGGGGAGCAAACA